UGUCAACUCCUUAAAGUUGAGAGCGAGCUGGGUUAAGAGCCUCGUGAGACAGUUUGGUC
This 59-nucleotide ribosomal RNA is filed under the name Gambierdiscus australes. RNAcentral's name for it is "partial Bacterial large subunit ribosomal RNA". Lineage: Eukaryota; Dinophyceae; Gonyaulacales; Pyrocystaceae. The record is from RNAcentral.